GGCAUAAUUUUUGUCUGAUCAACAUUUUUUGAGAAAAUUUUGUUAUGGUAAUGAUUUUAAAAGACAUAGAUCAGAGUUUUCAUGAACACAGCUAGCAAGCUUUCGUAUGAAUUUUGGAAAGAUAAACGGAGCUAUUCAAUGUAGAAACCUUACAACUUGAGAACUGAAUGACUGCAAAAAGCUUUUGACUCCAAAAUUACAUGGACGGAAAAGCAUUGCCAGGACCGAGAACACAACAAAACUCAGAGCCGCACAAGAGCAAAAUGUUUGUCGCACAUUUUGUCCGUUUUGCACUGAUUUUGCUCAUUUGCCGGAGUGAAUUUUGCCAUGGUGAGGAAGAACAACAAGCAAAGGACAAAUUACAAGAAGCAUUGAAGUCAGUUGAAGAGUAUAAAGUCAGAAACAAAAGAGCAGGUUUGUAAUGGAGUAUUCUGUUUUAUAUAGACUGAGUAAGGUAACCGUAGUAACAGGC
This 472-nucleotide long non-coding RNA is filed under the name Orbicella faveolata. RNAcentral's name for it is "uncharacterized LOC110064121, transcript variant X1". The record is from RNAcentral. Lineage: Eukaryota; Metazoa; Cnidaria; Anthozoa; Scleractinia; Merulinidae.